GGAUGAUGAAGUCUUGCAACUCUUCCAAUCUCAGAGUAGAAGUGAAUGGUCUCAUAAGCCUCUGGAAAUUUUACUCACCAGCAUUUCCAUUCAAAGGAAUAAGAAGGGAAAUAUUGCAAGAGAGAUCAUGCAAUCGAACCAUCUAUAUUUACCCUUGUAUGACUUCCAGAUAACAUCCUCCAAUUGACGUGAAUCCAAACAUGUAUAUAUGAGCUCAUGCUCAUGUCAAAG
RNAcentral lists this long non-coding RNA (231 nucleotides) under Nicotiana benthamiana. RNAcentral describes it as "long non-coding RNA (NBEN_LNC000891)". Lineage: Eukaryota; Viridiplantae; Streptophyta; Magnoliopsida; Solanales; Solanaceae. The record is from RNAcentral.